GGGUUGUGAGGUUAAGCGACUAAGCGUACACGGUGGAUGCCCUGGCAGUCAGAGGCGAUGAAGGACGUGCUAAUCUGCGAUAAGCGUCGGUAAGGUGAUAUGAACCGUUAUAACCGGCGAUUUCCGAAUGGGGAAACCCAGUGUGUUUCGACACACUAUCAUUAACUGAAUCCAUAGGUUAAUGAGGCGAACCGGGGGAACUGAAACAUCUAAGUACCCCGAGGAAAAGAAAUCAACCGAGAUUCCCCCAGUAGCGGCGAGCGAACGGGGAGCAGCCCAGAGCCUGAAUCAGUGUGUGUGUUAGUGGAAGCGUCUGGAAAGGCGCGCGAUACAGGGUGACAGCCCCGUACACAAAAAUGCACAUGCUGUGAGCUCGAUGAGUAGGGCGGGACACGUGGUAUCCUGUCUGAAUAUGGGGGGACCAUCCUCCAAGGCUAAAUACUCCUGACUGACCGAUAGUGAACCAGUACCGUGAGGGAAAGGCGAAAAGAACCCCGGCGAGGGGAGUGAAAAAGAACCUGAAACCGUGUACGUACAAGCAGUGGGAGCACGCUUCGGCGUGUGACUGCGUACCUUUUGUAUAAUGGGUCAGCGACUUAUAUUCUGUAGCAAGGUUAACCGAAUAGGGGAGCCGAAGGGAAACCGAGUCUUAACUGGGCGUUAAGUUGCAGGGUAUAGACCCGAAACCCGGUGAUCUAGCCAUGGGCAGGUUGAAGGUUGGGUAACACUAACUGGAGGACCGAACCGACUAAUGUUGAAAAAUUAGCGGAUGACUUGUGGCUGGGGG
Molecule: ribosomal RNA, 787 nt
Filed under: Escherichia coli
Lineage: Bacteria; Pseudomonadati; Pseudomonadota; Gammaproteobacteria; Enterobacterales; Enterobacteriaceae
Description: bacterial LSU rRNA
Rfam family: Bacterial large subunit ribosomal RNA
Source: RNAcentral